CCAAAGGUUUACCGCUAUUAGGAUGGGGAUGCGUCUGAUUAGGUUGUUGGCGGGGUAACGGCCCACCAAGCCCACCGAUCAGUAGGGGUUCUGAGAGGAAGGUCCCCCACCAUUGGAACUGAGACACGGUCCAAACUCCUACGGGAGGCAGCAGUGAGGAAUAUUGGUCAAUGGACGUAAGUCUGAACCAGCCAAGUAGCGUGCAGGAUGACGGCCCUAUGGGUUGUAAACUGCUUUUAUAUGGGGAGUAAAGUGAGGGGACGUGUCCCUUUUGUAGGUACCAUAUGAAUAAGGACCGGCUAAUUCCGUGCC
This 312-nucleotide ribosomal RNA is filed under the name uncultured bacterium. RNAcentral's name for it is "bacterial SSU rRNA". It matches the Rfam family "Bacterial small subunit ribosomal RNA", at positions 201 to 509 of the family's 1533-position model. The record is from RNAcentral.